Molecule: long non-coding RNA, 325 nt
Organism: Sander lucioperca (pikeperch)
Lineage: Eukaryota; Metazoa; Chordata; Actinopteri; Perciformes; Percidae
Exons: 3
Source: RefSeq, a predicted model, not a curated record
UUGAGAUUGUAAUGGUAUAAAGUGGGACGAUACGGAGGAAAUGGGCUUUUCCUCCGCUGCUCUCCCCGUGAAAUGUGCCCCGUGCAACAUGGAGAGGCGGGGGGAGGCAGGGGGAUCCUCCCACACCGUGCAGCGGACUCUAAAGGAGACUUUUAGCGUCAAUAACGACGACAAUGGCAUCUGACCAAACGUCCUUAUUUUACGAGAUGGGAGUGAGAAUGUGUUGCCACAAAGCUUCUUAAGCAUUUUAUUUUGGUGCUGUCACUUGUCAUCUUGGAGCUUGGGAGUGAGAAAAAAAAUAUGAAUUAUAGGCUACAUUGUUUUA